Molecule: ribosomal RNA, 465 nt
Filed under: uncultured bacterium
Lineage: Bacteria
Description: partial 16S ribosomal RNA
Rfam family: Bacterial small subunit ribosomal RNA
Source: RNAcentral
CUACGGGGUGCACCAGUGAGGAAUUUUGCGCAAUGGGCGAAAGCCUGACGCAGCAACGCCGCGUGAGUGAUGAAGGCCUUCGGGUCGUAAAGCUCUGUCAAGUGGGAAGAACCUAUGUAAUGUUAAUAUCAUUAUAUACUGACGGUACCACUGAAGGAAGCACCGGCUAACUCCGUGCCAGCAGCCGCGGUAAUACGGGGGGUGCAAGCGUUAUUCGGAAUCAUUGGGCGUAAAGGGCACGUAGGCGGCCUGGUAAGUCAGAUGUGAAAGCCCGGGGCUUAACCCGGGAAGUGCAUUUGAUACUGUCAGGCUUGAGUAUGGGAGAGGGAAGUGGAAUUCCUGGUGUAGAGGUGAAAUUCGUAGAUAUCAGGAGGAACACCGGUGGCGAAGGCGACUUCCUGGACCAAUACUGACGCUGAGGUGCGAAGGCGUGGGUAGCAAACAGGAUUAGAUACCCUAGUAGUC